This 459-nucleotide ribosomal RNA is filed under the name uncultured bacterium. RNAcentral describes it as "bacterial SSU rRNA". It matches the Rfam family "Bacterial small subunit ribosomal RNA", at positions 29 to 530 of the family's 1533-position model. The record is from RNAcentral.
AACGAACGCUGGCGGCAUGCCUAAUACAUGCAAGUCGAACGAAGGCUUCGGCCUUAGUGGCGCACGGGUGCGUAACGCGUGGGAAUCUACCCUUGGGUUCGGAAUAACAGUUAGAAAUGACUGCUAAUACCGGAUGAUGACGUAAGUCCAAAGAUUUAUCGCCCAAGGAUGAGCCCGCGUAAGAUUAGCUAGUUGGUGAGGUAAAGGCUCACCAAGGCUACGAUCUUUAGCUGGUCUGAGAGGAUGAUCAGCCACACUGGGACUGAGACACGGCCCAGACUCCUACGGGAGGCAGCAGUAGGGAAUAUUGGACAAUGGGCGAAAGCCUGAUCCAGCAAUGCCGCGUGAGUGAUGAAGGCCUUAGGGUUGUAAAGCUCUUUUACCCGAGAUGAUAAUGACAGUAUCGGGAGAAUAAGCUCCGGCUAACUCCGUGCCAGCAGCCGCGGUAAAGUCACGUCG